Molecule: long non-coding RNA, 1211 nt
Filed under: Homo sapiens (human)
Lineage: Eukaryota; Metazoa; Chordata; Mammalia; Primates; Hominidae
Description: long intergenic non-protein coding RNA 2136
Source: RNAcentral
GUAAGAAAAUGCCUGCAGCCCCUUGCACUCGCGGAGUCAUCUACGCAAGGUCGGGCUCUGCAGGCAGCAGCUUCUGGUCUCACCCCGGGCUUGUGCGCACACCUGGGGACAUGUGGGAAGGUCGCUCUUGCGGCCACUGAGCGGCCUGGCCUCAGGGAACGAGCCCCGCGCCGGGAAGAAAGCUGCCUGCCGGGAGCGCAGCCUAUUGGGGACCCGGGACCCGAGCCACCGCGGCUCACCAAGAGGCGGUGGGGCCCUGCGGUGCGUGUGGGACGCCGGGCAGGCAGACUCUGAGCACGGCCAGGAGGCAAGAAGAGAUUGAAGGGAAAUCUCAAGGGGCUCCAGAGACUACUACGAUGGUGCAAAGUCACAGAAGCCCUGGGAAAAGCAGGUAGAAUGGAGUUGCCAUGACAUUGAGCCUCACCUAGAUGCCAGUUCCAGAUAUUGGCAGACUGCUGGCCUCCUGAGGAGCACAGGAAGGGGCCUGGCAGACUGGUGAUCCUGGUUGGAGAUGAAGAGGGGCUGAUUAAGAGGAGCUGACUGAGGCUGGGAGGUUUCCUGCCCGGGAGUGGCGAGCCUGUCAGAGCUGCACCUGGGCCUACCUGUACCUAGGAGAGAUUCAGGGUUCCCUUCAAAUUAAGUCAUCUCUUCUUCAAGGCUCAGUCAUAUAAAUUUCAAAGGACACGUGGCCAUGCUCCAUACCAGAAAGGUUUGAAGGAGGUUUAACAACCUCAAGAAACUCAGACAAUCAUCCAGUGCCUCGCCCAGCAGGAAAGUGCUGAAGCGGGUGGGGUGACUGGUCACCAAGCAAGGCUCAUGCGGAUGGGCAUCGAUAAAGACAUCGAUAAAGACGUGGUUACCAUGGCAACCAUCACUUCUAACUUCUUAUCAAACCACAUCCUGUGAACAUGAGGGAGCAGAGCCGAAGUGAGAGCCAGAGACCCUGCAUCCUUCCUUAUUCUACUCUUGCUACCAUUCCGCACCACUACCGUGCCUCAGUUUCCCCCAAUUUAAAGUGAGACAAUACUUCUUUACCUUUCAUCUGACCACGGACACUUGGGAAGCCAUGCCUAGAGGAGGCUUCACCCCUCAGUGAAAAGAGACCUCAGGGAGACCUUGUUCUCCCUGAGCCUUGUACAUUCAGAUUUUCUAGGAGUUGAACAGGUAAGAGGUACCUGAGUAAGAGGUAUAAUAUUAAUAAUUCUACCGCC